GAUGAACGCUGGCGGCGUGCCUAAUACAUGCAAGUCGAGCGAACGGACGAGAAGCUUGCUUCUCUGAUGUUAGCGGCGGACGGGUGAGUAACACGUGGAUAACCUACCUAUAAGACUGGGAUAACUUCGGGAAACCGGAGCUAAUACCGGAUAAUAUUUUGAACCGCAUGGUUCAAAAGUGAAAGACGGUCUUGCUGUCACUUAUAGAUGGAUCCGCGCUGCAUUAGCUAGUUGGUAAGGUAACGGCUUACCAAGGCAACGAUGCAUAGCCGACCUGAGAGGGGGAUCGGCCACACUGGAACUGAGACACGGUCCAGACUCCUACGGGAGGCAGCAGUAGGGAAUCUUCCGCAAUGGGCGAAAGCCCGACGGAGCAACGCCGCGUGAGUGAUGAAGGUCUUCGGAUCGUAAAACUCUGUUAUUAGGGAAGAACAUAUGUGUAAGUAACUGUGCACAUCUUGACGGUACCUAAUCAGAAAGCCACGGCUAACUACGUG
RNAcentral lists this ribosomal RNA (497 nucleotides) under uncultured bacterium. RNAcentral's name for it is "partial 16S ribosomal RNA". It matches the Rfam family "Bacterial small subunit ribosomal RNA", at positions 28 to 507 of the family's 1533-position model. The record is from RNAcentral.